AGCUAGUGCAAAAGGAAGCACAUGUUUGUUGUGAAAAUAAAUUUUGGAUUAGAUAAAACUUGUUUGGUAAGUGUUAUUUACUAUUCGUUAACGUAGAAACAAAAUAAAUGUAUCUAAAGUGAAAAAGUUUAGAUGUUUCUGGAAAUAUAAUAGAAAGAAUAAGGAUUUUAACAUGUGAUUUGAUACCAACAAAGUGAACAUACACACAAUAUAUUACUUGAGAUAUUUGGUGUAAAAAACAAAUCAGUGUUGAAUUAUAAUCAUUUUUAGUUUUAUAUAUUAUAUUAAAUAAAGUGUCUUGUUGGUUUGUUUUCACAUACAAAAAUGAAAAACCAACAACUGCAAAUACAUGUACACAAUAUAAAGUCUAGCAUAGCUAUCAAUUUUCACACCACACAAUUGUAUACAUUUCAAUUACAUAUAUUUUGAAUAUUUUUAAGCAUCUUACUUAUUGUUUUAUUUCUAUACUCACAUCAGAUAAUAUCUGUAUUUAAAUUCUUGUUUAAAUAUUUCAUAAACAUUAACUUGAUUUAUCUAUUAUUUUGAAAUACAAUUGCAUUUGUGUAGAGUGAAUAGGAUGACUGUCAAGAGAUAAUUAAUAUCAUUUAAUGAGUCCUCUUCUAUUUUAUAUCCUACUACUAAGUGUUUUAAAGUAACUAUAUGCUCCACCAAUAUGAAGCUUAUUUUAAUAAAAUACAAAUUUUAUUCCAAAAAACUUAAAAUAAGUACAUUCCAUGAAAUUGUGUUGAUAAGUAUCUGGUACCCACACACUGAACACAGAUUGGUGUUUUAAUUUCCAUGUGAAAAGAUGUGUACCUACAGGUAGUAUAUAAUGUAAUAAUUUCCAUCGAACCAUUUUUAAUUUAUUGUCUUCUAAAUAAUUAAAAUAAAAUUUAAUGUGUAUUUAAUUUUGGUUGAAUUUUAUCUAUAUUUAGUUCUUUCCGCCAUUUUUGUAAACCCUAUAGGAAUAUCUUUAUUUACAUUAGAUAAGAUGACAUAAAUAUCUUUAUUAUUAAUUUUUUGUAAAUCAUAUAUAAUUGCGCCUUGUUUUAAACAUAGUUGUUUUUUACAAUUAACAAUAGUUUUUAAUGAGUUUUGUUUUUGUAAUAUAUCUUUCCAAUGAUUUGGUAUGCUCUUUCUUAUUUGUAUUAUUUCUGCAAUCCAAUUUCUUUUACAUUUUAACUUAUUGAGUAUUUUUUCUUUUGAUAUUCUUCCUCUGUCAUCAAUUAUGUCAUUUACAUAGAUUAUGUUGUCUUUUAUCCAAUGAUUAAAAACUAAACUGUGCCCAUUUAACUUUAUGUAUUUGUUACCCCAUAUAAUUUGUUGUCUAAUGGUUCUAAAGUUUUCUGGUUUAUUAGUUUGACCACCGCCAUAUUUUACCCAGGUUUUAAGUAUUUCAAAGUAAAAAUUAGGGAUUUUGUUGUUUUUGAUAUUUAUUGAUUUUAAAUUAUCCAGAUUCAUGUGAAAUAUUAAAAAAUUUGAUCCAUAUUGAUUAAAGUAUAAUGUGGGAAUAAUUUUCCAAUUUGACUGUUCACCUUCUAUUAAUCUUUUUACCCAUUUAAUUUUUAUUGCAUCAAUAAACUUGUCAAUAUCUAUCAUUCCAAGUCCUCCUUCAGUUUUUUUCAUGUUAAUUGUUUUUCUUUUAAUUUUUUCUUUUUUAUGGUCCCAAAUGAAUUCAUAAAUCAUUUUUUUAAACUUAAAUAGUGAAUCUUUGUCGAUAUCAGUUACAGAAGCUAAAUAUGUUAUAUUUGGUAUAACUAGAGAUUUCACGACAGUUACUUUUCCGAUCAUUGUUAGCUUUCUUUUUUUCCAUGAGUUAAGAAUUUUUUCAGAUUUUUGAAGUUGUUUUUCUAUGUUUAAAUUCAUACAUUGAGAUUUGUUAUAUCCAAAGUGAAUGCCAAGGCUUUUAACAGUCUCUUUGCUCCAGUUAAUAUUCUCAAAAUUGUCUUGAAUAUGUUUUAAUUUUCCGAAACCUAAUCCUUCAGUUUUACUUCGAUUUAAAAUAAGUCCUGAUAGAGAACCAAAUACUUCAAUUAUAUUAAAUGACUGAGAGAUUUCAUCUUUAGAGCAGAGAAACAAUGUAGUAUCAUCAGCUAACUGGCUUAUUAUAAGGCUGUGCGUUUUUCCAUCUAACUUUAUAUUUAUUCCCUUAAGAUUAUUGUCGUUUCUUAUUCUACAGGCUAAUAUUUCGACUGCAAAGACGAAUAAAAUGGCGCUUAAAGGACAUCCUUGUCGAAUUCCUCUAAAAAUAUUCAGUGGGCUUGAAAUCCAUCCAUUAUUAGAAAUACAUGCCUUGAUAUCUGCAUACAAGGUUUUGACCCAUCUUAACAUAGAAUUUUCUAUACCAAAUUUUGUUAGUGAUUGAUACAUGAAUUCCCACUCUAGGGAAUCAAAGGCUUUGGAAAAAUCUAGAAAAAGUAUAGCUCCAUCUAUUUUUAACUUUUCUGCAUGAUCUAUAAUGUCUUGUAUCUGACGUAUAUUAAAACCUAUAUAACGGUUUUUAAUGUAUCCAUUUUGGUCACUGUGGAUAAUUUUUGACAUCACAGGUUUUAAUCUUUGGGCUAAUGUAUAUGCAAUAAUUUUAACAUCAACAUUUAAUAGUGUAAUUGGUCUGUAAUUACCUAAUUCAGUGGGGUCUCCUUUUUUAAAUAUUAGAGAAAUUAGGCCUAUUUUUUGUGAUUCAGAUAACAUUCCUUUUUUAUAGCAAUAAUUGAAGCUUUGAAUUGCAUAAUUCUUUAAUUUGUCCCAAAAUUCUCUAUAAAACUCUACUGAGAGUCCAUCUAGGCCUGGGGAUUUAUUUAAUUUCAUUUGAAAAAUUGAUUUUGUACAUUCUUCUGUUGAUAGAAGUCCAUUUAGAGAAUUGCUUUCUUCUUUACUUAAUGAUUGUUUAAUAUUUGUAUCCUUAAUAUAUGUGUUUAUAAAAUUUUUAUCUGGUUUAGUGCUUGUGUAAAGCUUUUCAUAAUAUUUCUUUUCUAAAUUUAGUAUUUCUGAUUGUUUUGUAAUUAUCUCCCCUUUAUCGUUUUUUAAAUUUAUUAUAUUUUUUCUUGUUUGUCUACUUUUCUCUAAUCCUAGAAAAAAUUUAGAAUUCUUUUCCCCUUCUUCUAUCCAUUUUAUUCUUGAACGUAUUUGUGCACCUUUUGCUUUAUAACUAUAAAGAGAUUCUAUCUCACUUUCUAAUAAAUUGAUUUCGUUCUUUUCUACUUCACUUGGUUUAUUAUUAUCCUUUCUUUUCUGUAAUGUUUGAAGUUUUUUUUCCAAAUUUUGAAUUUCAUUUUUCCUUUGCCUAGAUUUAUUUUUGCAAAACUGUAUCGUUGAUUCUCUUACUUCAAUUUUAAACAGGUCCCAUAGUUGUGAUAAAUUUUCAGUGUAAUUGCUUUUAAGUAUAAAAUAGUCUAUAACUUUUUCUAUUUUAUCUUUAUAAGAUUUGUCAGUUAGUAUGCUGUUGUUUAUUUUAAAGAACCCUUUACCCUUAUUAUCAUUGGACAUGUUAAUUUUCAAUGAAAUUGCCUGAUGGUCUGUACUAGAAAUUAGGGCUGGUCUUAUAUCUGUAGACUUUAUCAUAGUUCUCAAUUCCUUACCCGUUAGAAAAUAAUCUAUUCUACUUGCCUCAUCGUCUUUAUUUUUACGUUUCCAUGUAUAUUGAUAUAGUUUCGGAUGUAAUUGUCUCCAAAUAUCUUCUAGUUUGUUUGUUUUUAUUAAAGUUUUCAAACUAUUUGUAAUUUUUUGUUCUCUUUUUUUAUUAUUAUUCUUUCUAUCUGUACUACUCAAUGUUUCAUUCAUAUCUCCCCCUACUACUAAAAUUCCGAGACUAUGUUCUUCAAUUAUUUUAUUUACAUUUUUAAAGAAGAUGUUUCGCUUUUUUUUCUCAUUAGGUGCAUAUAAAUUUAUUAAAGAAAAUAUGUUGUUGUUUAUUUCAACAUUUACAAGAAUUAUGCGACCUUCUUGAUCAGUAAAAGUAUCAAUUAUCUUUGGGUUUAUUGUUUUUUUAAUAAAUAUAGCUACUCCUUUUGAUUGUGUUGUGCCAAAACUGUGAAAAAUAUCUGCGUCAUAUUCAUUACUUACUUUAUUUUCUAUUUCUUUAACAAAAUGAGUUUCUUGGAUAAAAAGUAUAUCUGUUUUUUGAUAUUUUAACCAAGUAUAAAGCCUAUUUCUUUUUUCUUUUUGGCCUAGUCCUUGACAAUUUAAGGAACAGAUAUGUAAAGUUUUAUUCAUUAUUCUUAUAUUUUUUGUAGCUUAAAGCGAGUAUUUUAAAACUAAAUACAUUUGACAAACAUACAUGUAUACAACAACAAUAACAUGCAUAGUAUAAGAAAAUAUAUAUAUACAUUAAGAACAACAGUAUAUUUAACAUGAUAAUAAUAACUAUACAUAUAAUAAAUACAUGAUCUUUUAUAUAUAUUUUAUCUAUCCUAAAAAUUGGACACCAGUUCAGGAAAGGUGUACAUGUUUUAAAUAAUUUGUGUAGGGAUUUUCCCACAUCUAUAAAUAGCCAUAGUUUGCUCAUGUAAUUUCUAUUAAUUGUUUUUAUUCUGUUGAAUUCUAUUGGUUCUAAUAAUGCACUUAUAUUGCUAUGUUUUGUUUUAGUUGAAGUUGAUUGUAUCAAUUUUGUUUUUAUUUUUGUAGGUACUUCGGAUAUAUUCGACACCAUUUGGUAACAGGAUAAAUUUUCUUGUUUCACAAGAAGACUAAAACUCUUGGAUUUAGUGAUGCUGAAGACUUUUACAAGAAUACAUACGUGUGUGAGCAAUACUAUUGCUGGAUUUUGACUAGGAAUUCCUUCCCAGUAUCUAUAUCUGUGCGUGUAUUUGUAUAGUGAUGCAAUAUAUUGAAGACAUGCAUAAUCUAUACAACGAUGUAAAAGCUCUUCCCGAAAAUUAAUACAGCA
This 4885-nucleotide long non-coding RNA is filed under the name Mytilus galloprovincialis (Mediterranean mussel). Lineage: Eukaryota; Metazoa; Mollusca; Bivalvia; Mytilida; Mytilidae. The record is from RNAcentral.